Molecule: ribosomal RNA, 370 nt
Filed under: uncultured organism
Description: bacterial SSU rRNA
Rfam family: Bacterial small subunit ribosomal RNA
Source: RNAcentral
CGAAGGGGGCUAGCGUUGUUCGGAUUUACUGGGCGUAAAGGGUACGCAGGCGGCCUAUCAAGUCAGGGGUGAAAUCCCGGGGCUCAACCCCGGAACUGCCUUUGAAACUGGUAGGCUAGAGUAUGGGAGAGGUGAGUGGAAUUCCUAGUGUAGAGGUGAAAUUCGUAGAUAUUAGGAGGAACACCGGUGGCGAAGGCGGCUCACUGGCCCAUAACUGACGCUCAGGUACGAAAGCGUGGGGAGCAAACAGGAUUAGAUACCCUGGUAGUCCACGCUGUAAACGAUGAAUGCUAGUUGUUGGAACCUUCAGGUUUCAGUGACGCAGUUAACGCGUUAAGCAUUCCGCCUGGGGAGUACGGUCGCAAGAUUA